This 115-nucleotide ribosomal RNA is filed under the name Microtus ochrogaster (prairie vole). The record is from RNAcentral. Lineage: Eukaryota; Metazoa; Chordata; Mammalia; Rodentia; Cricetidae.
GUCUACGGCCAUACCACCCUGAAUGCGCCCGAUCUCAUCUGAUCUCGGAAGCUAAGCAGGGUUGGGCCUGGUUAGUACUUGGAUGGGAGAUAAUGGAUCUCAGAGUCUGUGUGUC